UUUAGUAUUGCGUAGAUCAAAGCAAUAGGUUCUGUAAUCGGCAGAUCCAAAAGCCAGCAAAUGAGUUGAGUGAGCAGAGAACUGAACACAGCAGACGUUUGCUAUGUUCCAAAUUGUGCCCAAACAGUUCUUCUCAUUAAUACUCCAAAGUUUUACAGCACAAUCAUCACUGCCACUGGCCAAUUUUGUAGGAUGCACUUGUGAAAAGUCAACAGACCAUGCCCUCUUAGUGUGUUCAUUGAAUUGAGA
Molecule: unclassified non-coding RNA, 249 nt
Filed under: Hevea brasiliensis (rubber tree)
Lineage: Eukaryota; Viridiplantae; Streptophyta; Magnoliopsida; Malpighiales; Euphorbiaceae
Source: RNAcentral